GCCCCCGUAGCUCAGGGGAUAGAGCAACGGCCUCCGGAGCCGUGUGCGCAGGUUCGAAUCCUGCCGGGGGUACCA
This 75-nucleotide transfer RNA is filed under the name Streptomyces boncukensis. Its description in RNAcentral is "tRNA-Arg". It matches the Rfam family "tRNA". Rfam says of the family: Transfer RNA (tRNA) molecules are approximately 80 nucleotides in length. Their secondary structure includes four short double-helical elements and three loops (D, anti-codon, and T loops). Lineage: Bacteria; Bacillati; Actinomycetota; Actinomycetes; Kitasatosporales; Streptomycetaceae. The record is from RNAcentral.